AGACCUGUCCCCUCUGAUAUGCACUUGGCUGGGACAUCCAAAACAGUGCCAGAAGCCUGGCAAUGUGCAAGCUGCCCCAAUAGGGGCCAGCGGGACUCCAGCAACCACAGUCUUCCUGGAGAGAUGACGCUUGCUUGAACUGGAGGAAUUGAUGAAUGACAUUUGGAGGAGAAGAGAGCACAGUACCCUUCUAGAACAGCAUGAACUGAACCAAAGCACAGAGCUUCCAUCUCCAACCAUUUCUCGCACCUGUCUGCCAUCUCCUGAAUGCCAGUGUGACUAAUGAGUGCCAGAGGCAGCAGAUGGGAAGGU
Lutra lutra (Eurasian river otter) is the source of this 312-nucleotide long non-coding RNA. RefSeq lists it as uncharacterized. Lineage: Eukaryota; Metazoa; Chordata; Mammalia; Carnivora; Mustelidae. The transcript is spliced from 3 exons. The record is from RefSeq and is a predicted model, not a curated record.